ACGGGAGGCAGCAGUGGGGAAUAUUGCACAAUGGGGGAAACCCUGAUGCAGCAACGCCGCGUGAGUGAUGACGGCCUUCGGGUUGUAAAGCUCUGUCUUUGGGGACGAUAAUGACGGUACCCAAGGAGGAAGCCACGGCUAACUACGUGCCAGCAGCCGCGGUAAUACGUAGGUGGCAAGCGUUGUCCGGAUUUACUGGGCGUAAAGGGAGCGUAGGCGGAUUUUUAAGUGGGAUGUGAAAUACCCGGGCUCAACCUGGGUGCUGCAUUCCAAACUGGAAAUCUAGAGUGCAGGAGGGGAAAGUGGAAUUCCUAGUGUAGCGGUGAAAUGCGUAGAGAUUAGGAAGAACACCAGUGGCGAAGGCGACUUUCUGGACUGUAACUGACGCUGAGGCUCGAAAGCGUGGGGAGCAAACAGGAUUAGAUACCCUGGUA
This 434-nucleotide ribosomal RNA is filed under the name uncultured Clostridiaceae bacterium. RNAcentral's name for it is "bacterial SSU rRNA". It matches the Rfam family "Bacterial small subunit ribosomal RNA", at positions 341 to 792 of the family's 1533-position model. Lineage: Bacteria; Bacillati; Bacillota; Clostridia; Eubacteriales; Clostridiaceae. The record is from RNAcentral.